GGCGGUUCUCGGGUAAUGCACCCCAGAAUCGGGCUCCCUCCUCUCUGGUUCCAGGUGUGUCACCUGAGAACCACA
Molecule: non-coding RNA, 75 nt
Organism: Myotis davidii
Lineage: Eukaryota; Metazoa; Chordata; Mammalia; Chiroptera; Vespertilionidae
Source: Rfam